Molecule: ribosomal RNA, 253 nt
Filed under: uncultured bacterium
Lineage: Bacteria
Description: partial 16S ribosomal RNA
Rfam family: Bacterial small subunit ribosomal RNA
Source: RNAcentral
UACGUAGGUGGCGAGCGUUGUCCGGAUUUAUUGGGUUUAAAGGGUGCGUAGGCGGCUUUUUAAGUCAGUGCUGAAAUAUCACAGCUUAACUGUGAGGGUGGCAUUGAUACUGAGAGGCUUGAGUACAGAUGAGGUAGGCGGAAUUGACGGUGUAGCGGUGAAAUGCAUAGAUAUCGUCAAGAACACCGAUAGCGAAGGCAGCUUACUAAGCUGUAACUGACGCUGAGGCACGAAAGUGUGGGGAUCAAACAGG